GGCUGGUCUGAGUGCAGUGGUGUUUACAGGUAAUUGAUCACAACCAGUUACAGAUUUCUGUGUUCCUUCUCCACUCCUACUGUUUCACUCGACUAGCCUAAA
This 102-nucleotide Y RNA is filed under the name Carlito syrichta (Philippine tarsier). RNAcentral's name for it is "Y RNA (ENSTSYG00000034007.1)". It matches the Rfam family "Y RNA". Rfam says of the family: Y RNAs are components of the Ro ribonucleoprotein particle (Ro RNP), in association with Ro60 and La proteins. The Y RNAs and Ro60 and La proteins are well conserved, but the function of the Ro RNP is not known. Lineage: Eukaryota; Metazoa; Chordata; Mammalia; Primates; Tarsiidae. The record is from Rfam by way of RNAcentral.